CCUACGGGAGGCUGCAGUGAGGAAUAUUGGUCAAUGGACGAGAGUCUGAACCAGCCAAGUAGCGUGAAGGAUGACUGCCCUAUGGGUUGUAAACUUCUUUUAUAUGGGAAUAAAAUGUUCCACGUGUGGGCUUAGCGAGAGUACCUGAAGAAAAAGCAUCGGCUAACUCCGUGCCAGCAGCCGCGGUAAUACGGAGGAUGCGAGCGUUAUCCGGAUUUAUUGGGGUUAAAGGGUGCGUAGGCGGAAUAUCAAGUCAGCGGUAAAAAUUCGGGGCUCAACCCCGUCGUGCCGUUGAAACUGAUGUUCUUGAGUGGGCGAGAAGUAUGCGGAAUGCGUGGUGUAGCGGUGAAAUGCAUAGAUAUCACGCAGAACUCCGAUUGCGAAGGCAGCAUACCGGCGCCCAACUGACGCUGAAGCACGAAAGCGUGGGUAUCGAACAGGAUUAGAUACCCUUGUAGUC
This 460-nucleotide ribosomal RNA is filed under the name uncultured bacterium. RNAcentral's name for it is "partial 16S ribosomal RNA". It matches the Rfam family "Bacterial small subunit ribosomal RNA", at positions 338 to 795 of the family's 1533-position model. The record is from RNAcentral.